RNAcentral lists this ribosomal RNA (755 nucleotides) under uncultured bacterium. RNAcentral describes it as "bacterial SSU rRNA". It matches the Rfam family "Bacterial small subunit ribosomal RNA", at positions 8 to 765 of the family's 1533-position model. The record is from RNAcentral.
AGAGUUUGAUUCUGGCUCAGGAUGAACGCUGGCGGCGUGCCUAACACAUGCAAGUCGAGCGGACCAAUGCUCAUUUCAGCUUUGCUGAUUUGAGCAACGGUUAGCGGCGGACGGGUGAGUAAUGCGUGGGCAACCUGCCCUGUGCAGGGGGAUAACACAGCGAAAGCUGUGCUAAUACCCCAUAAGACUACGCUAUCGCAUGAUAGAGUAGUCAAAGCUUUAGCGGCACAGGAUGGGCCCGCGUCUGAUUAGCUAGUUGGUGGGGUAACGGCCUACCAAGGCGACGAUCAGUAGCCGACCUGAGAGGGGGAUCGGCCACACUGGAACUGAGACACGGUCCAGACUCCUACGGGAGGCAGCAGUGGGGAAUAUUGCACAAUGGGGGAAACCCUGAUGCAGCAACGCCGCGUGAGCGAAGAAGGCCUUCGGGUCGUAAAGCUCUGUCCUAAGGGAAGAAGUAUGACGGUACCUUAGGAGGAAGCCCCGGCUAACUACGUGCCAGCAGCCGCGGUAAUACGUAGGGGGCGAGCGUUAUCCGGAAUCACUGGGCGUAAAGGGUGCGUAGGCGGCCGAGUAAGCCAGAGGUGAAAGGCUACGGCUUAACCGUAGUAAGCCUUUGGAACUACUUGGCUUGAGUGCAGGAGAGGAGAGUGGAAUUCCUAGUGUAGCGGUGAAAUGCGUAGAUAUUAGGAGGAACACCAGUGGCGAAGGCGACUCUCUGGACUGUAACUGACGCUGAGGCACGAAAGCGUGGG